GUCAAACGCAAGAGUUUCUCCUCCACUGAAAUUCAUGCCCACCUCUCGGCGGCUCGUACUCUGAGGAGCGAAGUGAAGCAGGGAAACCAAUACACCGUGAUAUGAUCUUAAAUCCCCUACUAGAUCUGUUAUCAUUUUGAGGAUGGGGACGCUUGUCCUGUUGGAAGGCGCGAUCUUGUUCCUCUUGACCUACUCAUAUAAUGUUUGGGGAGAACUGCCUGCGCCUACUAAUGUGACAUUGGACACGCUGAACACACACUAUGUGCUAAGGUGGGACUGGGACAGAGAACAUGCCGGAAACCAGAACGUGACCUUCACAGCUCAGUACCUGGCUAAGUACAAGUUGCGGCGGCCGCGACAGGACUGGGUGACCGUGUGUGUGAGUGUGAGCGUGUCGGAGAGGGAGUGUGACUUCACCACCGCUGACCUCAACUACCUGGGCAUCUUUGUGCUGCGCGUGCAGGCCAGUGCACAGACACACACUCACACAGGCACACACACACUCCAGUCCUCCUGGGUCAACUACAGCUUCUGCCCUGACAGUGAUGCUGCCCUAGGUCCUCCUUCUCAUGUUGAAUUGUCUGGUCAGGGGCGGGGCUUACUGGAGGUCAAGAUAUCUGACCCUGUAACCCAUAGCAACGAGUCAAUGAGGCUCCAUGUCCCCUCCAUGUACUACCGCAUCCAAUACUGGAGACAGGACACACACACUCAGGCUGAGCUGGUAAACAGUGACCCUGCCCUGGUGACACUGUCUGGUCUGCUGGAGUGGGUUGUGUACUGUGUGAGAGUCCAGACGCGCUACGACUUCUACCGCAAGUACUCCGCCUACACCGCCCCUCAGUGCAUACGCACACAAGGCCAGACUCCGUACUGGCAGGUGGCGCUGUGGUUCCUGCUCUCCCUGGGGGUGGUCUUUGCAGUGGUGCUGCUGUCUGCCUUCAGCUUCCUCCGCUUCUUCGGGGUCUUAAAGUCCACCUACUUUCCCAGCAACCAGCUGCCAAUCCACAUACAAGAGUAUCUUCAGGAUGCAGCCUCUGACAGGCCACGCCUCCUGACCCCAGAGUCAGAUUCGGAGCUUCUGAUUGGCCAACUGGACAUCUGCCCUGAGGUGGCGGUUGCCCCAGCGACGGGUGUCCUGGAGAUGCAGUCAGAGCUGGAGUAUGCGCAUCACGAUCGCCAUGGCAGCGGAGAUUCGGGCAUGUACUCGGCUGAGGAGGCGUCAGGAGGGGGCGUGGCCUUACAGGAGACGGAGAAGCACAAGGGAAGAGGAGAGAGGGAGGGAGAGAGGAAGAAUGAAGAAGCAGAGGAAGAGGAAGAUGAAGGAGUGAGAGACGUUUGCGUUUAAGGCACGGGGAUAAACCGGAGAAACUCAAGCCUUCUUCUAGAAGCCAUUUUUUUUACUCUUUCAGGUUUUUUUGUCAAUUUCCUUUUUUUCCUUCUGUCUUUCCGUCUCUCUUUCAUUCAUUCUUUCUUUCCCUUCAUCUCUCUCCUCUCCUUUAAAUUUGAAAAGUGACCCAGAAGAAUGAACCAAUCAGCUUGAGGCUUUGAAAAGGGACCCAGAAGUGUGAGCCAAUCAGCUUGAGCAUUUGAAAAGGGACCGAGAAGAGUGAGCCAAUCAGCUUGAGCCUUUGAAAAGGGACCCAGAAGUGUGAGCCAUGUGUGUGUGUGUGUGUGUGUGCACUGCAGGAAAUAGCCUAACAGGCCUCAUAAUGUACUGGAUAAUCUACUGCGAGAGUGUGUGUGUGUGUGUGUGUGUGUGUGUGUGUGUGUGCACUGCAGGAAAUAGCCUAACAGGCCUCAUAAUGUACUGGAUAAUCUACUGCGAGAGUGUGUGUGUGUGUGUGUGUGUGUGUGUGUGUGUGCACUGCAGGAAAUAGCCUAACAGGCCUCAUAAUGUACUGUAUAAUCUACUGCCCUCCGUGGGGAGGGUUUUCACAAAUCACACCCUGCUUUUUAGUUGAUGUUUUUGGAGUGUGUGUGGUUGAUUUUGCAAGUGUGUGUUCAGUGUCUGCUGCUGAGUGUGUGUGUGUGCGUGUGUGUGUGUGUGUGUGUGUGUGUGUGUGUUCAGUGUCUGCUGUGGUUAGCACGGCUUGGGACUUCCUGGCUGGUGUGUCCUACAGCGCCUUAAAGAGGCGUCUGUGUGUGUGUGUGUGUGUGUGUCUGUCUGUGAGU
Clupea harengus (Atlantic herring) is the source of this 2172-nucleotide RNA transcript. It is a transcript of the gene named interferon alpha/beta receptor 1b-like, with no coding region annotated. The transcript has 8 exons. The record is from RefSeq and is a predicted model, not a curated record. Lineage: Eukaryota; Metazoa; Chordata; Actinopteri; Clupeiformes; Clupeidae.